GCCUGUCGAGCUCGACUGGACGAGCACCCGCCUUGUAAGCGGGAGGAACCGGGUUCGAGUCCCGGGACAGGCU
This 73-nucleotide transfer RNA is filed under the name Actinokineospora alba. RNAcentral's name for it is "Alloactinosynnema alba tRNA". It matches the Rfam family "tRNA". From Rfam's summary of the family: Transfer RNA (tRNA) molecules are approximately 80 nucleotides in length. The record is from Rfam by way of RNAcentral. Lineage: Bacteria; Bacillati; Actinomycetota; Actinomycetes; Pseudonocardiales; Pseudonocardiaceae.